Molecule: small nuclear RNA, 105 nt
Organism: Neogale vison (American mink)
Lineage: Eukaryota; Metazoa; Chordata; Mammalia; Carnivora; Mustelidae
Source: Ensembl
UUGCUUUAUUAACACAUAUAAUAAAAUUGGAAUGAUACAGAGAACAUUAGCAUGGCCUCUGUGUAAGGAUGACACAAAUAAAAAAUACAAUGGUCCAAAAUAUUU